GGGGGAGGGACCGCGGCGGAGGCGGGGGCGGCCAAUCUCGCCUACCGACCCCACCGCGGCCCCGGAGUCACAGGCGCGCCUCCACGUCGCUGCCUCCAGGGACUCUCCCGGGACAGACCCGCGCGCUCCCGGCCUGGAGGAAAUCGCGGUGAGAACGAACAGACUUUAAAUGGAGGAGCUUUGGUGCCUACCCCACAGGUGGAUGUGAGGAUUAAAUGAGAUCACCUAUAAGGAAGAUCGUAUCCCUGGACACAAGGAGAGUGAGGAUGGUAUGGUCGAUUGGAAAGUGCCCGCCCCCCUCAAGAUAUGUCAACAGCCUAAUCCCUGGAACCUGUGAAUGAGACCUUGUUUGGAAAAAGGACUUUGCAGAUGUGAUUAAGUUGGGGAUCCUGAGAUGAGGCGAUCGUCCUGGAUCAUCCAGACAGGCCCUAAACACCAUCACAGGUGUCCUUACAGGAGGUAUGCAGAUGGAGACUAGGCAGAUGCACAGAGGAGACGUGAUGCAAAGAUGGAGGGAUGCAGCCACAAGCCAAGGAGUGCGGAGAAGUGCCAGCAGCUACCAGGAGCUAGAAGAGGAAAGGAAGGCUUCUCCCCCAGAGCCUGGGGAGGGAGUACAGCCCUGCCAGUACCUUGAUCUCAGACUUCUGGCCUCCAGAACUGUGAGAGAAUAAAUUUUGGUUAUUUUAA
Mesoplodon densirostris (Blainville's beaked whale) is the source of this 687-nucleotide long non-coding RNA. RefSeq lists it as uncharacterized. The record is from RefSeq and is a predicted model, not a curated record. NCBI's taxonomy places the organism in Eukaryota, Metazoa, Chordata, Mammalia, Artiodactyla, Ziphiidae. The transcript has 3 exons.